RNAcentral lists this transfer RNA (72 nucleotides) under Mediterranea sp. (in: CFB group bacteria). Its description in RNAcentral is "Mediterranea sp. tRNA-Met". It matches the Rfam family "tRNA". Rfam says of the family: Transfer RNA (tRNA) molecules are approximately 80 nucleotides in length. Their secondary structure includes four short double-helical elements and three loops (D, anti-codon, and T loops). The record is from RNAcentral. Lineage: Bacteria; Pseudomonadati; Bacteroidota; Bacteroidia; Bacteroidales; Bacteroidaceae.
CGCGGAAUGGAGCAGUGGUAGCUCGAAGGGUUCAUAGCCCUUAGGUGCGGGGUUCGAAUCCCCCUUCCGCAA